GGGGACGUUACGGAUUCGACAGGGGUGGUCUAAGCGUGAGCUGCGCGUCGGAGGCUCGACUCCGUCAGAAACGGACCUUAAUAAUAACAGGCAAAACAAACAACAACCUAGCAUUCGCAGCGUAAGCUGUUGAAUCUGCCUUGCAAUACCAUCGCCCAUGUGGCGUUGUAGGGCUAACCUAAAGUGGGAUACGCUGGAUGCUGCUUUUCGAGGCUCCCCAGAAGAGAUUUCCGAAAUAGCGCUCAGGACGCCCUGUCUUCCGGCAUAAUGUAGCGCGAAACCAAAUAGGAAAACUACACGCGUAGACGUUUACGUAUUAGAGCCUCUGGACGUGGGUUCGACUCCCACCGUCUCCA
Molecule: transfer-messenger RNA, 356 nt
Filed under: Lysinibacillus sphaericus
Lineage: Bacteria; Bacillati; Bacillota; Bacilli; Caryophanales; Bacillaceae
Description: transfer-messenger RNA, SsrA
Rfam family: transfer-messenger RNA
About the family: Bacterial tmRNA, also known as 10Sa RNA or SsrA, is named for its dual tRNA and mRNA-like properties. Its role is to liberate the mRNA from a stalled ribosome.
Source: RNAcentral